Molecule: ribosomal RNA, 508 nt
Filed under: uncultured bacterium
Lineage: Bacteria
Description: bacterial SSU rRNA
Rfam family: Bacterial small subunit ribosomal RNA
Source: RNAcentral
CGGCGUGCCUAAUACAUGCAAGUCGAACGCACUCUCGUUUAGAUUGAAGGAGCUUGCUCCUGAUUGAUAAACAUUUGAGUGAGUGGCGGACGGGUGAGUAACACGUGGGUAACCUGCCCUAAAGUGGGGGAUAACAUUUGGAAACAGAUGCUAAUACCGCGUAAAACCUAACACCGCAUGGUGUAGGGUUGAAAGAUGGUUUCGGCUAUCACUUUAGGAUGGACCCGCGGUGCAUUAGUUAGUUGGUGAGGUAAAGGCUCACCAAGACCGUGAUGCAUAGCCGACCUGAGAGGGUAAUCGGCCACACUGGGACUGAGACACGGCCCAGACUCCUACGGGAGGCAGCAGUAGGGAAUCUUCCACAAUGGACGAAAGUCUGAUGGAGCAACGCCGCGUGAGUGAAGAAGGUUUUCGGAUCGUAAAACUCUGUUGUUGGAGAAGAAUGUAUCUGAUAGUAACUGAUCAGGUAGUGACGGUAUCCAACCAGAAAGCCACGGCUAACUACGUG